AUUUCACAUGACGGAAAGUUGUCACCCCCAGACUGGUAUUUUUGGAACUGCUCAGUGUGUAAUCAGUUAGUGAUAGUAGCUAACGAUUACAAGCGUGAUGCCUGGAAAUAAAAUAAAUAGUCCAUCAACAGAGUGGAUUUAAACUAAGCCUGCCUUGUGAUGGCUGGUGCCAUGGCUUGAAUUCAGCAAGAACUGCCCGCUUGCUCUAAGCAUAUUCAACUGGAAAAUAGUGGAAAGAGAGAAGCCAUCUCGGGGAAGAGAAAAACUCCAUUGUCACCUGGGAUAUGGAGAAUCAAAGGUGAAGUCCAGGCUGAAAAAUGGGCAGAGAAAGGGCUGCCAUGUCUGAGAUGGGUGCUUCUACAGCAGGUUGUGUGUCGUGUAGGCUGUUACUUCCCUAGGUUUUUAGCUAGGAGUUUCCCCCCAGUGAGUAUAGCUUUACUCCUGACUGCUGGUGAUUCUGGGUGUUCAGUGUCAAAUUGUCCAGUAUAUUCAAUUUCCAACAUUUAAUGUAUGUUUUCACUUAAAUCAUGCCUUAUGCCAAUUGAUUGUGGAAGUGGGAGAAAUGGAAUACACAGUUUUGAAGUUAUCCAUUUUCCACAUCCAAAAUAUUUUUGGGCAACUGGGUCAAGUGUUUUGAUUUUAGCAGCAAUUAUAUUUUGCAGAUGAAAAAUAAAAAAGUAAAAGUACAACUUCCAGUAGGUUUCUGCUGAACUUUGAAAAUGAAUGAAAGGGCACAUUGUGAUACUCUUAUUCAUGCCAAAUAUUAUCUUACUCCACACCACGAGAUGCUAUUUAAUGUGAGCUAUAGCUUCAUAUUCUGGUCUAGCACUGAUUGACAUGUUCUUUUUGAAGUCAUAUGGAGAAAACCUACAUACCGAUCCUACCAUGAAGUAAUUAAUCACCUCGUAAUAGGCAAUAAAUUUACACUGUUGUAUUCUGUAGAGUAGAUACAUAUUUUAAUUAGCAUCCAUCUGUAGCUUGCAUUUUGCUGAUUUUGUAUACUUCUGUAUUUUAUAUACCAUUCCUAUUGACUGCCCAAGAGUACCAGUGCAGAUAUUUAGCAAGCUUCCUUUCCAACACUGUUUUAUUUUUAUUUAGGAGUUUUUACUUUAUAAUAUCAGUCUGUAAUUCUGAUAAGCUGCAUCAAGGACUUGCCAUGCCAGAUCCUGUCUUCAUGACAUUUUUGGAACUAGUGUACUCCAGAAAUAAUAGUGAGGAGUUAAAAAUGCUAUCUAAGAAGACACUGUGACAUGCAGCUAUCUAAAGAGACUGCUAUCUUCAUUAAAACAAAAAGUAAUAGCAUUUAUUAAAUUUGAGGAAAACUAGAGGCUACCUCCUUGUAUUUAAUACAAGUAAUUAUGUAUAUUAUUGUGAUAGAACAGCCUUGACAGUCUCCUCAGAUAGUUUAAACAGAAUCGUUACACGCAUAUCUGACUCUGUUACUGUUAAGAAGCUCAGCUGAUUUAUUAGUACAGUAUUGCCUUACACUUGGUUUAUUCUUUGGACAUGUUUCCAGAGGGUUUAGUUUCACAGUCUCUUGGGCAUCGCAUUUUGUUGACUAGCCAUCAUCUAAACUUGGCCAAAAGCAAUCAGAUGAGCUUUCCGCCCAAGCUCUAUAAGCUACAUCUGUUCUCAAUAAUUGACAACCAGUAAUCCUCCCCCAAAACUCCUCCUUGGGGCAUGCUGUAUCCUCACUUGCCCUGCAAAUUCAUCACUCACUCAGUUGUUGGCUCCGCAGAUCAGUCACCUGCCUUGUACUUUAUUUCAGCAAAACUUCCAAUGCUAUGGAAGAUGUGGUUGAGGCGAGAGAGCAUCAUGAACAACAGAAAAACAAAACUGAAAAUCAGAAAGCGUUUGGCAGUGCUAAGAGGCUGUGUCCCCAAUAGCACGGGCCCACUGCUGCUGCCCUGUUUUCCCCAUGGAAAGCAAGGCACUUGGGUUGUCCCUACAGCCUUCGAACAACCGUAGAGCCCGUGUUCCUGAAGAGGGCAUUAGAUGAAACCGCAGAGAUUCAGUCACAUUUUCUAUUUCCUACUAGCAUAAGAGCUAAGAUAAGGAAAAGGAAGUGGGUCACGAAUAACCAUUGCUUCAUUAUUGCCAUCUUAUCUGUAAAUCAAACUGCAGUAAUUAAGAAUCCAAUGGGGAAAGAGAACGUAAACUCCUAGCAAUAGAGAGGGAGACUGCGCGUUGUGCCUAUAUGUUAAGCCUAACAGGAGGUUACUUCAUUUUAAUAUUAUAUGAAAUAAUAAUAAGAAUUGGACUUGUGAAAUGAUAGCAAAGGGUUUUGUCUGUCUUCCCAUAAAGUCAGACUAGCAUGAGCGCUCUGAACAUUAGACAAGAUAAAAUUAUUUUAUUGAGAUAACUUCACCAUUCUCCAUUUUCUAACCAUUUUGUGUAACUUUGUGUUUUAUCUGAGAUGUUUGCAUUGUUUCUUUUUACCUUUAUUAACGGCUUUUUCCAUGAGAGCGUGAUGGUUGAAAAGCAACCUGAUGCAGUGGCUACAUAAAUUUGGAAAUAUUUUCUUGAAAUCUGUGGUACAACCCGUGAACUAUUGUGUGUCCAAGUGGAUUUAGUGUAUCAUAACGCUCCUAGAAAAACAAAAGGACAAAGAAGAUGGGAUUGCUAAGGGAGACAUUAGAUUUCAUUUCACACUGGUAAUAGUUUAGAGAUGUGUGCUGAGCAAAAUGGGAUUCAAUUCUGCAGCACUUCUCUUUUUUAUUGCUACUAAGUGAUUUCAAUAUCCAGUCUAAAGUGAUAUUGAGAGUGUUCGAUAGGAUGGGGAUGAAAUCAGGGAACGCUGGAGGCUCAGAGGAGGCCACAAAUCUCAGGCUGACUUGACGAAGCCUUUCAGGGCCAUCCCACCCGACCUUAACCCGUCUUAUUUAACCUGGAGGCUGCUGGUAAGUACCUUGCAAUGUAAGAUAUCAUUUUGUAUUAAAGGGAACUAUGCAGCUAGAUUGCAUUUUUGACAUCAAUUGAUGUUACCAUAGUUAUGGCUUUGGCCAUGAACUUACCGCUUUCAGAAACAUUUAUGGCUAGAAUUUUAUUGCCCAGCUGUUGCUGCCUGGUAGACAUAUCAUAACACGGAAAUGGCUUAAACCCUGUAACCUUUCAAUUUAUGACUCUUGAAAGCAGAUGAAGUUUGCUAUACAAACAAGGAGGCUUACCUGUAGUUCACAAGACAACAGCCACAAAUAUUCUACUUGGGUACCACUUCUCAAAGCAAAGAAGCUUCUAUCUGCUGUGAUGUAUGUUCUGCUUCUGAUAAACACGCAGCUAAAAAAGAAGGUCAGAAACCUCUCUUUGAAUGGGCAACAGAGGCAUGAGCAGAAGCGCUGGCAUCCUGUGAGGUCAACCUGUGGAGAAGAAACUAGGGGAGACCUCAAAAGCAAUAGCAGGAGGGGAAAGGGGCUUCAUCUGAGCCCAGCAGUAGGAGUGGCAGCACAGCCUUUUCAGGGAAAUCAUGUUCUGCGGCUGCACUGGAAGGACACUUGAAGAAAUGUGCAAACAUUUGGGGGCACUUCCACAUUGCCAAAAAGGUAGUUUGCUGGGUGGAAGUACUUGCUUGGACUUUAAAGAAGCCCUGCUGGUUUUGCUUUGCAUUUGUACUUACUCCUAUGAAUAAGUCCUACACACAAGCUUUUGAAAAUGGAAGUUAGUGAGGUUUAUGCAAUGAUCCUUGGAGAUUUUGCAUCUUUAGCAAGGAGAAGGUUUUCACAGGAGAGGGAAGAGGUGAUGGUGUUUACUGCCAGCUUAACCCUGGAGCCCUUGGUACGAGCUGUGGCCCCAGACUAUGGAGCAGCUGCCCGACGAGGAGUAACAGCACAAACACCUGCUCGAAUCCGCCUGGGAAUCUGAUGUGAGGAGAGGAGGAAACAUCCCAAGUCGUCAAAAAUCACUUGACAGAAGAGGAGAAACUACAACUUAUAUAGUAUACGUAUUUUGGGAGAAACAGGUCAGUCCGCAACACCAAACCGACAAAAGGAAUAUUUCAGACUGCCAGGAAAGAGUGAAACUUCUCUGAAGAAGCAGCAGGAAUCUUUUUGGUUGGAAGUACAAAACAAGAUAAAUACCAUGUUACCUUUUGGGUCAACUGCCUGUGUAGACUUCUGUCAGGACUGUUUGUAAUAUUUAUGCAUACUGUAUAAUUUAAGAUCAUAUAGGGUUUUUUCUUUUUAUUUUUAUUUUUUAACCUUGCCGCUCAAGAUAAACUGCAGCAAAAUGGGAUAGUGUUUUGAUUGCUGUAAUCAGACCUACCACACUUAAACGUUCUGAAGUGUUCUUCAUCUCCUAAUUUUCAGUUAUCGGUAACGUUUAUGUCCCACUUUGCUUGCUCUUGAAAUCAUAGCUUCUGAAGCAGAGGGCCAUAAGAGGUUGUCAGCAGCCUUUUAAACUGUGAAGUCCUGUUUUUCAGCAUCUCAGUAAUUUUCUUUUGCUUCUUCCUUUGGGAGAGAAGAAGAGAGGAAGCCGUUUUGGAUCAUGACUGCUCCUUGUUCUCUCCUGACUAUUCUUUUAAAAGAGGUGCUAAAAUUUUAAGGAUAACAUUAAAAAAAAUAAACAACCUAGAAAAUUAUUCGGCCGAUUCCUUCUUUAGUUUAAUGGGCACUAACUAUGAAUUGCCUUUGAAAAACCUAACCUGAGCUACUAAAUAUUUCUUUUUCUCUCCUCCUUCAUUUGUCAAAUAUUUUAUCAACAAAUUUAAUUAAAAUGACCACAAAAGAACCCAGAAAUACGUGUACAAAAGACAUUGGAUUUUUUGACAGAUAUGAACGUGCUAAUUAGCCUUCAAAUCAGCCACAUUAAAAAAUGAAGUCUUUAGUACACUUGUCAAUAGCUUUUUAUUAAAACUAAAGGAUUAGAUAAGUACCAAAUGUCAAAGAAUAGAUAAAGCUUUCAGCAUAUAGAAACAAUAUUGGUAAAACUUACUGAAUGGCUGUUUAUUGAAAAAAGACAUUUUAAUGAGAACCUGCAUCGCUGAAUCUUCCUCUAGUUGUGGGGGCAAGGAAAUUUAUACUAUUUGCUAGAGCUAUUUAAACUGUUUCUUUUAUGUUGUAUGGUUUUGUGCUGGCAUUUUUUUGAAGUUCUGUUUCUGUGGGUCUCCUUUCUCUUGUUUCUUAUUUGAGUGCUGAGGAUCAUCUGAGUCAAAACCAUUAACUUUCACAUGGUUUUCAAUCAAGACCUUUGCAAAAUGGCCUAUUUCACAAUGGCUUUAAUGGAAAAUAUAGAUUGCCUCAUAUUUGAUUUAGACCUCACCUCUAUGCUUGUUUUCUUUUUCUCCCCUCAGGUUAUACAGCUUUGCGUGAUUUUUCUCAGUCUUUUCUUGGAAAGAGAAUGUAACAUGGACAAUUGGUCUGCCUCUAAUUAUGUUUAAACUGCGCUGAAGAUCAUUAAUGUUAUUGCUAGUGACGUGCUUGCAGUUGUUAUCCUGAAAAUUAAAACUAUCAGUGGGAAAUCCUGGCUCCACUGAAGUUAAGGAAAGAUUUCCAUUGAGCGAGCAGUUUUGCCUACAUAUCUGGGCAUGCAGGUGUAAAUACAAUGAAACAUUAGAUCCCGAUUUGUCUCCAGCUCAUCUUUAAUAGAAAGACUGAUAAUUUUUACUAGAAAUAGUAAUGGUAGCUGUUACAGCUGAUAUUCUACAAACUGUUGGUUGACUUUUUCCAGGAAAAUUCUCCUAUAUGGAAUUUUCUCCCAAGACAGUCCAAUUGAAAUGAAAGUGUCAGUCCUGUUUAGUGAUCUUAUUUAAAGAAUUGGGAUGCCAAGUCCUUUUUCACCGGUGUCAGAGCCGAUUUCUGCUGAGGCAGUAAUAGCACCUGAAGCCAGGAGAGUUUUAUAGGGCCCAAGUUGCCAUAAGAGCAUUUCUUAGUGUUAUUACUGUCUUUUAUUAUUGUGUAAAAAUACGCUUUUCUGUAGUAUCCAGGCACUGCAAUAUUUACCUAACUAUUAAACUAACAGUAUACAGUAAAUGAACAAGUGACCAUAUGGCUUUGAUGGAUGAGGUGGGGGUUUACUGCAGAAGAGGUAAUUUCUCCUUGCUUCACUUACAAGCGCCGUCACAGCCUGAAAGGAGGAAUACACAGAAUAAAAAGGCAGUGAAGAGGCUGCCUGGGUAUGAUUUUUUCUUCGGAAAAGGUUUGGUGGUUCUUUUGGGCUGCAGCUGGAAGGAAGCAUUGCUCUUUUCAAACACCUAAUCUAACACCAUCUGAAAGAGUGAAGGAAACAGGCUCAAGAAAGAGUUGUUUUGGAAUGCUCAUACUGAAUAUGACAAAUAUUUCUGACUGUGUCAUUGGGGCCUUAUGUAAAAAUGGGAACUCUGUUUAAAUUUUUUAAAUUAUUUUUUUUUAAUUUAAUUUGUGUCACAGCUUUGCUUUCAGGCCACUAUGAGCACUAUUUCCAAAGAGUCCUAAGACAGUAAUGGGCAGGGCUGGUGAUAGGAGUGAUCUGUUCCCUCAAGCAUGAGGUUUUUUAAUGUAUUAUUUGGGUGUAAGUUCUAAAAGUGUGGGUUUUCCUCACUAGAAAUGUUCAGUUCUGCCUCCCAGGUUCAGCAGAUCUGAUCUGCAAUUACGUUCCUCAGCCUACCCACACCCAAACAUGGUUUGCCUGUCACGUGGAUUCAAAAGAAAAGGUGGAAUAGAAAUUAUUGUCUAAAUAAAAGACAAUUAAAGAGGAAAAAAAAAAAAGAGAAAAAGAGAAUCUGAUGUGGCCCAAAGUUCCAUUAUAUUUCACAGAAAUCUUCCAUAGGUUCUUUCUGAUGGUUCUUUUGCUUCACAUUGACCUCUGGUGCUUGUGAGUCACCUGAAUUUUGGCCUGAGAGCAUCCUCAGGAGGAAGAGCUCAGUUCAAAACUGAUAAAGCUGAGCUGAGAAGAAAGGCAACUGGAUGCAGCCUCAGUAUGAAAGUCCUCUUUCAGUCAUGUCCCAAUUUGUACUGGGUGUCUUAAGAGGGCAAUGCUGAUUUUUAUUAUUUUCUUAAAUAAUAGUAAACGCUUUCAUAAAGUGUUACAAAAAGAUGGCCAGGUUUGCUUCUUGGGUUUUCAGCAGUGUGAGUUGUUGGCUUUUUUUCAUUUCCCUGGUGAAAAUCUAACGUCACAAAUGCAUUUGGAGUGUACACAAACCUUGAGAGAAAAGAGCAGAUUUGUUUAUUGAAAAUCAUCACCAUGUUACUUUUAGCAGCAGGGAAAAUGUAACGGCAGGAAAUUAUUCAAACCCCGUGUGUCCUGACUGCCAAAUGAAUUUGUAGGAAUACAGAGCAUAAUAAGGAAACAGACUCACUAGACCGCAUUUUUAGUCUUCUGCUUUUUUAUGAAAUUAUUUUCAUUUAACCCUGUUUCAGAGACAGAAGUCUCUCCAGCUUCUCAAAGUGAGCAUAUGGACAAUAUAUGGCUAUCACAACUAUGUCAUAAUAUCCAGCUGCUAUUCACAUGGAUGUCGGGAAUGGCUGGCUGGGUUAUGCUGAGUGAGCCUGAUGCUUACCUAAAAAUAUUUCUGAAUACUUUUUGUUAGUUGCCAUUGAAUUUGGAUAGUUGCUGAUCCUUGCCAUGGAUCGUUGAGAAGUCAAGGUAGCAGGUGGUUCGAAUUAAUGGAAAUACGGAGCUGUCUGGAGGUGAGGAAAAGGAGCUUAUUCUUUCUUCUCUGCCUUUACGGAUUGCGAGUUGGGUGGCUCGGGGUCAUGAAAAGUCUGGGUGGGUUUGAGAUCCUUGAAAAUGCCAGAAAGGGAGUAAUUGGAUGACUGGUACAGACUGCAGACGGGGCUCUUUUGUCCCUGCCCUCAGUGAAUGAAAUUCUUUUCCUUCUACAUUCAAAUCUAACAGACUUUUUGAUUUCACCCUAGAUGGUUUCACCUUUGAGCUAAGAAGCAGCCUAAGAGGUAAGGUAUGUACAACUGGAGCAAAUCAUUCAAGUCUCUUUUAAAAGCGAUGCGUUAUGCACGCACAAAUUUUUAAAAAGACAAUUAUAAAGACACAUGUUUAAGAAAAGUGCUUUUGUAGUGAAUAAAACAAAAUUAUUUCUUCACGCUCCUGUGCAAAGUGGGUGGCUACAAAGCAUGUGCAUAGAUUUCUGGUGAUACAAUACAAACGGUACAGUAAUAAUAAGUUUUUUCUGUCGCCAGAGAGUCUGCACAAAGAUUCCAUCAGCAUUUUGCUCAGUAUGAUAAAAAAUGCGUUACAUCCUCAACAUCAAUGGAGGUUCAAAGUGAAACAGAAUCAAGAAGAAUAAGGUAACCAUAAAGAAAAGAAAUAGCUAAAUGAUAUUAAGGAAGCCAAGAUAACUGCAAAAUUAACAACACAAUAGCUUAUAGAGUCUGCUUCUGCUAACAAAAGACAAUCUUUACCACCUAGCAUAUCCAUUCAGUCCUGGAAAGAAAAGGUAAUUACAUUCUGAAAUGAACAAAAUAGUUAAAGUGUGGGUUUACGAUGAUAAUUUAAAAUUUGAAGUUAAGAUACUUGAACUGUGACCCUCAGUAAAAAGCGAGACUUCCCGUCUCCGCUGACACCACAAUGCUGAAUAAUGGCAAAGGCAGCCUGAAGUCCAGAAUAGGUCCCUGACCACUUUUCUUGAUUUAUUGCCAUCCUCACUCGAUGACUCGACGUGAGAGUCAUGGGGGAGACAUCUGCAGGCUGCCUGGAUGCAGGAAGAGCCCCUUGGGGCAUGGCUGCAUGGAGCAUGGAGCGCGCCACCAGGAUACGGUAUGUCUGUGUGACAGCACCGCUGGCCAGAAAAGGCAUGAAGGGAUUUCCUGGAAAGCACGAUCCUUUUGGGAGAGACUUUCCUAUCCCUUGCUGAAAAUUAAAUUUGGAAGGUUUCUACAAGCACUGUGGCAGGACAGCACCUCUCAGACCCCAGGGUGGUCUGAAAGUGCUUUGCAGUAGGACAGUGCACGUGCGGCUGAUGGCGAGCUCCUUCCAGAGAGCAGAAGCCGACAGAGCCGCUCGUGGGUUUCAACAUGGAAAUUCAACGGAAACAAACAUGUGCAGAUUGCGGUGUCUGAAGUCACAAAAAGGAAUUGGCCCGAGGGGUGCAGGCAGUGAAAUACAGCUCUUCAUCAGGGCAGCCUGUUCCCUUGCACGUAGGGCUCCCAAAGGGAGAACCGGGACUCUCCCAUCCAGCAGUCCUGAAACUCAGCAGAAAAAAUACUAGCAACAGGUGGAGGGACAGCCCUAAAAGGUCUCCCCCAUGACAGGAAUCCCUUUGUAUCGAGUUGGUAACUGACCUAAGCAUACUCCUCCCGUUGGCUAGAGGUCUGUCAAGGCACUUGCUGCAUAGUUAGCAGGGACGAGGUGGCUUUUGCCAAGACCCCAUCCAUCUGUAAGGGAUGGUAGCCACAGGCUGAAAGGCUUAAGUGUGCUUGUAGUUUUAAAUAGUUCCAAAUCUCUAAAAUGCAAAACCUGAGGGUUUUGUGCUCAGCUACCACUUCUCUGUGGGAACCCUAUCCUGGAGACAUUCUCCCAUGGAAAUCUCCUGCUUUGUAUUUGUGGUUGAAGCCAAGUGACACAGCGAUAUUUUGGGGCUGGCUUUUUGUUAUUUUGCUGUUUCCAGCUACACAUUUAUCUUCAAAAGUAAAGGUCAGAGGCUUGUAUUAAUUAGAUAUCCUUCAAAAACGUGUAUCUUGGAGCUCUUCAAAAGGCAGAGUAAUAAAGAAAAGGUGAAAAGAAUUGCAGAAAAGGAGGCUAGGUAAGAUGAGAACUAUUUUAUUUCUGGUUUGUUUUGGAUUCUAUUUUUUUUUUAAUUGUUUCUAUUAUUCACAUCUCUUACAUACAGAGAAGUUUCAAAUGAAGUCAAUUAAACCUUAACACAGUUCACCUUUGAACACAGUGCAUAGGUAGAAAUGGCUCCUGAGGUCACUGUGCUACUGCAGCAGCCCAGCAAGAGCCAAUGUAAUUUUGUUUAAAUUCAAAACAUGUUCUGGCAAAGUAUGUCCAUCUGCUAACCCUCUGGCUAGGAGUCAGGUCUGCAAAAGUAAUAUAAAGAUGCGACUCUUGGUUCUAGUACGAUUUUUCACCCCUUCAGGUGCCUCCAAGAGCUUUUCAGCUGCCUGAAAUCAGUUCUCCAACAACACAAGAAAACAGCUAACAAAUGUAAGGAGGGAGAGAGGCAGAUUAAAAGAAAGAGGGGAAAAGCCAUUCAAAGGAAGAAGCAAGAGAGAGGCAAGAAAACCAGAAGGCAAUGCAUGCUCGCCAGGUUUGGAGCAGGGAGAGGCUCUGUUGCUGUUCGGUUUGUUGUUGGAAAUAAAUGGGGGAAUGGAUGAGGGGAGCCUUUUGUGGAAAGACUUGGGGUAGGAGGAGGAUGUUACUGAGUUGGGGGGUUGAAAGACAGUGAUACUAAUUAUUUUAUCCAUAAAGUGUUACAGACAUAUUUAAAUAUUCUGAUGGACCUUCAAAUAUUUUUGGCAGUUCUGCAGCGUUUGCAUCCGUCAUCAAAAAAAGGUGAAACCACCACACGUUCCUGGGAAUUGGUUCAUGUGCCAAAAAAAGAGGCAGUCUCCUUCAUUUAUCCUUGUUUUGUGCUUAUGCACUCAUGUUACAACAUGAUGAAUUAUUCGUGUCUUACAAUGCUACAGGUUGACUGCAUCAAAUUGGAUGAGUGUAAAAUAUUUCAAUGCAGUAAUCACCAUAUGUUUCAAAAAUGCUUUUCUGCAUAUGAUGGAGUACAUGUAUAUAUGACCAUAAAUAAAGAAGAAAGAAUAUUAAUGCAUGGCUUUUAAGAAAAACUUAUGUGAGAAGCAGAAUAACAGCUCUGAUCAAUAGUGAACAGAGAAAAUAAGGGACAAUAAUGUAGAGUCAAAAGUCAGUGUUGGGGAGAGUGGGAAGUGAGAGAGGCAGAGAUAACCUAGCAAAGGCCUUCCAAAUGUUAACAUAUGGAUGUUGAAAAUGGUACGUUGAACCAGAUAUAUCUCCCUGAAGAAGAAAGCAAGUGUCUUGCAGGGUAGGUGUAAAUAUGCCUUAUUAAGGACCUGAACUGGGGUCAGUAAGACCCUACCAGCCAUCACCUAUGGCAAUGGAAACAGAGCAGCAUGCCAGUGGGAUUGUGCUGCCUCAGGGGGUGGCUGCAGCAGUCAGAGUUUUGAAUGAAAAUGCUGAAUAACUUCGCUGCAGGAACUUGCAGCAGGAAUUGAUAUGCAUACAAGUUCAGCCUUCCAUGGGCAGGAACAGGCACAGAGGCAUCCUUGGUCAUCCUGUGAAGGGCCAGGAGUGGCAGGGCACGGAAGGACAGUGAGCCACACACCGAGACGAUGAGGCGUACUGUGUAACUUGGGUUUUGCAAGUGCAAAUUGCACCCGUAAAGCUGAACCUGUCUUUUUUUAAGCAUUUGGGCUGCAUGUUGUGGUGUUGCAGAACACAAGAAGGAAUUUUGAAGAAUCAUUUCAAUAAAAUGAACGUGUGGGAGCAACGAGGAUGGUAGGAUUUUAAUUUGCAGCUUAAAUAGGUUUAAAAAUGAAGCACCAAAUAUGAAACUAUGAAGGCAGGAGAGGUUGUUUGUAGGUUUUUUGUUUGUUUUAGAAAGGAAUAUUCCCCACCCCACCACCCCCCGCCCCAGCUUGGACUACAGAUGGGUCUCAUGGGAUUUGCUUUCAGACAUAAGGGAGAUAUUCAGGCUUUCAGAUUUCAUUACCACUUUCUUCGUUAUUGUGCCUUGAGGAACUAUAAAUAACACAUGGCUAAUUUGUGAAUAUGGCACGUUCCAGGGGAUAUGUGUAUUUUAAUCAGGGCACCUUCUGACAUUUGGUAAUUGGUUUACAGAUUUGUUAUAUAACUUCAUGAUUAUGAAGUUGCUAAGAGGAAAAAAUCUAAAUUUAUGUGAUCUAAAAGCUGCCCUCACUGGACCAUUACAGCAGCUGUGAUUCUUAUAGGUCUAACUGAGGACAGAUUUUAAGCCGAGUACAUAAACCGUCAUCUUUUUUUUAUUUUCUUAUGGGUUUAGUAAUGUAAUUAGGAGUUACAUUCUUCAUGGUAUCCUUCUUUUAAUUAAAGCUCUUUAUUUGUGUGUAUAUUGCUAAACUGCUGUUAAGAUAUAUGAAAAUUUAGUCCAGUGAGAAAUCAGGGUUUGUGUUGGAAGGUGCAUAUUUGUCGCUGGGUGGGUUUUUUCAGUCUGUUGAACAGAACAAGCGUGGCAAGUCCUCAGGUUGGGAGCAGCCUUCUUAGGUGCUGCGAAAGAUGCUUGGAGAAAUCUGUGCAAAGUGACCAUCCACAAAAGCCAUACUAUUUCUGGAGGGGACGCAAGUUAUUUAAGUACUACAGCAAGUAACCCAUCAGCAACAGCUACGUCACUAGGUACGAAGGUGUGAUUUUUCUGCCCAGCCAGAGAUCCCUGCAUAUGCUUGUACCAGCUGCUCACAAGCAGCACAAGCUGCCCCAUCACCAUGGCACGUGGAGCUGCCCCGUCACCAUGGCAUGUGGAGCUGCCCCAUCUGGCUCGUGGAGCUGCCCCAUCACCAUGGCAA
Falco peregrinus (peregrine falcon) is the source of this 12434-nucleotide long non-coding RNA. RefSeq lists it as uncharacterized. The record is from RefSeq and is a predicted model, not a curated record. The transcript is spliced from 10 exons. Lineage: Eukaryota; Metazoa; Chordata; Aves; Falconiformes; Falconidae.